UUGCAUAGUUCCCCUUUCACAUGUGUCUGAUCUCUUUUCUGGUCCAUUCUUCUUUAGUUCCACCGACAGUCGCCUCUUGGGUCCCUUAUCAGUCGAUUGAUCCAUUAUGAAUGCAACAAUUGCCUCGCAACUGGCUGUUUAUAUCUAGCCGGUGCCAUGUUUGGGUGUGUGUCUGUGCCGUAAAGCAUUUUCGAAACUACAAUCUGACUACAUUUUCGAGGAUACUUCCGCUGCGUCACAUCCGGAAUGUCCCGGUCCGAGCAGAUCAAGUUGCAUAUGCGCUUUUUCACUGUAGAGGCGACAUGGGAAAAUGUCACACCCACCAAUCGACCCAGAAAUGGAUGCAGAACCAUCAGCAUAACUCUCAACCUGCAUACUUAAUGUAAUUUUGGCUAAAAAAGUUGCAUAGUGGGCCUUUAACUCCUACCAGACAAAAUAAUUAUGAAUGAAAGAAUUUAAUUCCUGGAUGUUUUCAGAGAUAUAAGAAACAGCCCUAUUAACUCUGACCCUAACCCCCCGGGGGGUGUUCCUGUGUCUCCUGUGCAGCUUCAGGCAGCAGUGCCGUAGACACUGCCCCCAGAGCACCUACGAGGACCCGGAGAGGAGGCUGUGCCAGCUCUGCAGCGCGCCCUGCACCGAGUGCAGGAGUGACACACACUGCCUGGCCUGCCAGACCGGACACUUCAUGAAUGACGGGGAGUGUGUGAAGCAGUGUCCCUGGCAGAGCUUCCCUGACGCCGAUGGGUGGCGCUGCCAGACCUGCCACAGCUCCUGCCAGUCGUGUCACGGGCCGCGCUCCACCCACUGUGACUCCUGUGUGGGCGGGAAGCCCUCGGUCCACGGCCAGUGCCCUUUGGUCAGCUGUCCAGAGGGCCAGUACGACAAGAGCGGUGAAUGCCAUUCUUGUGAUUCCUCCUGCAAGACCUGCUUUGGUCCACAAGCUUUGGACUGUUCAUCUUGUUAUACAGGUACAACAUAAACUACUGCUGUCAUGCCGCCAACGCAAAGGUUGUCAUUCAUGUAAUUUCAAACAUCUUUCUAAUCACAGGUCAUCUCCUGGACCAUGAGAGUUCAUGUGUAGAGCACUGCCCGUGUACUGAAGGAAGUACCGGAGCCUAUAAAGGACUGUAUAAUUUCUAAAGGGAUGUAAUCUGACUCAUGUAAUCUAUAACCAAAUAAUAUCUAAACCUGUGUACAUAUUUAGCUAAGAGUGAGAGGAGACCAAAGCUACGUUCAACAAUUUAAUACAGACAAUAAACUACCCUAGAUAUACACAUUGACAUAUAAACACUUCAAUACACACUCACACUCUACCUCCCCAAUGCUGUACCCUCCCUUUAACCCAAUCACACACCACACACACACGCAGACAGUCCGACCUGAGGUCCCUCGGUGGGCCUAACGAAUGUCCUCGUGCUCGUAGUGCGGCGCCGCUGGGUCGUUGGUGCACUUGGAGUGGGGGAGGGGAGAGGGGGUGAGUUGAAACUGCCGGAUACAAAGGGGGGCGUUGGAGAGGGGGGACACCUCCCUUGUAGUUGGGGUGAAGAUCGGCAGUGCUGCCUGGUAGGGGGCUUGAACCCGCCUCACGAACCUCGUCUGGAUCGAGGGAGACCAGCCUCUUCCUGGGUCCCUCUGGCGACUAGGCCGCGAGCACGUGCUCCUGGAUAGCUUAGCUCUUCGCUUAGCUCUCCGCUAGCUCUUCUCCACGAGAAACGCUAGCGGGCGAACGGACGGCAAACGCACCUCUGUCUGCCGAUACACCGUGCUGCCGACAGCACGAAACACACGAAUAUUCUAAUUCGCUAUAGUUCUCGACUUUACGCCCGCACCGUGCGGUUUCCAACUGCUGGUUACGAUACAACGAACCCUUCCCUCGUGGCCGACUACGCGAGACUGAUAAUUGACUGCGCGAGUGACCGUAUCACCCGUGGACUAAACCACUCCGCGCGCAGAUAGGUCUCAUUACGAACAAUACACAACAUGCCCGAACUGACAUAAUAAAAGGGCAAACAAAGAAAUGAGUAAUACAAUACCCCAUUAACAUAAAAUCAAUUAGUACACAACAGAUAAAAUG
Molecule: long non-coding RNA, 2074 nt
Organism: Gadus morhua (Atlantic cod)
Lineage: Eukaryota; Metazoa; Chordata; Actinopteri; Gadiformes; Gadidae
Source: Ensembl